This is a long non-coding RNA of Triticum dicoccoides, 1713 nucleotides long. RefSeq lists it as uncharacterized. The record is from RefSeq and is a predicted model, not a curated record. NCBI's taxonomy places the organism in Eukaryota, Viridiplantae, Streptophyta, Magnoliopsida, Poales, Poaceae. The transcript is spliced from 4 exons.
AGAUCGUCCCCGUCCUCCACACUCGGCCGCCUCAACUGCGUCCCGUGAUCCCGAUGUGGUCUCCAACCCCGCGCCCGCCCCACCCACCAAACGCCAACCCUGCGGCAUCGGAGGAGCGUGACGAUGUCGACCGCCAGCGGCGGUGCAAGCCGGCGACUUGCCGGACCAGAUGGUGAGGAACCUUCUGGAGAAGGAGAGUCUUCAUCGGAGGCAAGACCACCUGCAGCUCCUUCACCUCCAUGCUCGUAGCCGUCGUCCGCUUGUUCGUGCUUGUCCAUCGAUUCCGCCAGUACCACAUCCUCGCCAAGGACUUCUCCAACCUCAACGCCAUGGUAAUUUUGUAUUUUCUCCCCUCUCUCUUUGCUUCCUGCCGGUUCACUCGAUCGGCCCAGGUUGUUGGUAUUUGCGAGACAGGCAGAAUCUCAUGAUGGCUAUUAGAAAUUUAGAAUGGAGACUUCCAAUUCUAGGUGUUUUUGUAGGUAUGCGGUACUACUUUCUGAUAUGUGGCUGGUUGAUGGAACCUGUAUAUUCCCAAUCCUUUGGAAUAGAGAUUCUAGUUGUGCUUAGUAAUGGAUUUCAUAUUAUACCUUGGAAGGUGACAACGGAAGAUAAGGUCUGUGAUUUGUACGUUCUGCUAAUGACCGACUUUCAGUAAAAAUUAAGGUGUCUGCCUUGUAGAAAAAAUUACCAAUCGUCUAGCAGUUUCCUUUAAGUAUUAUAGUAUUCCUGAUCCACCGUUGUGGUUGUUGGCUUGCACCUUUGUGUAUGUACACGCUAACGGCCGGCUGGUCGCAGCUAAUUACUCAUUAGCCAAUAUGUUAAUGAACUAUCACGAAAUUAGAGAAUCCCAAAGCAAGCAGGCAAUAGCCCAUGUACGAUCGUGGCUGGCUUAUUUUGAUGGAUGAAUCGAUCAAAUCGUGACCUGUGUAUGUGCAUGUUCUGCACUUUCACCGGCUGGAUGUAGUAAUUUUGGUUCAGAUUUGAUUGUCGCCGUCAUACUAGAGCAUAGUAGCAGCUGGUGCUAGCAGCCGAACGCAUGAGCACUUGGUGCAGCGCCGCAACAUUCGUCUUCACAACAGUGUGUUCGCUGCGCGCCAUCUUCCAUGACGCAUUGAUCCUCGGAGUCUUUGAACUUGGCAUCACAACUCAUGACAAAAAAUUCUUACAUAUUCAUCUUUGGGAAAAAGUUCAGGGCAUAUAUAGCGGGUUACUUCUGUAGAAGGAGAGUUGAGUGCUAUGGCCGGGUCUGUAAAAAAGUGGUCAAAUUAUGAUAUAUCAAAGCCCUUCACACGUGAUGACGUAUGUUGGAUGAUGGAAUGAUUAUUCUGUUCAGUGCUUGCUUUGACUUGGGUGUUCAGAGAAGUAAAACUUCAACUAUCAUGUUUAGUGAAGCAACAUAUUGUAUCUGAAGUGAAACUUUCUGUUUGAUACGGAGAUAUGAGCAUCAAACUAACAUCCAUCUAAAGAUAAGAUUGCCAAGAUAAAUCGAUGAUCCAUGGCUCAGAAGUUGAUUGCAAGAUCGAGAAGGUGGCUACUACUAGAUAGUUUUAGAUUAGGUUAUUAGAAUGUCAUUCAGGUCAAUGUUUCAAACAUUAUGUUUUAGAUGGCUGACAUGUUUAUUGCAAGGUUGAGAAUCAGACUACUACUAGGUAGUUUCACAUACUGUAGUCUUUGUAUCAUGUUCUUUGUAAAGCAACCAAGUUGAUUAAUAUA